This 305-nucleotide ribosomal RNA is filed under the name uncultured bacterium. RNAcentral's name for it is "bacterial SSU rRNA". It matches the Rfam family "Bacterial small subunit ribosomal RNA", at positions 333 to 649 of the family's 1533-position model. The record is from RNAcentral.
UGGUUCCUACGGGAGGCAGCAGUCGAGAAUCAUUCACAAUGGGGGAAACCCUGAUGGUGCGACGCCGCGUGGGAGAAUGAAGGUCUUCGGAUUGUAAACCCCUGUCAUGGGGGAGCAAAUUAAAAAGAUAGUACCACAAGAGGAAGAGACGGCUAACUCUGUGCUAGCAGCUGCGGUAAUACAGAGGUCUCAAGCGUUGUUCGGAAUCACUGGGCGUAAAGCGUGCGUAGGCUGUUUCGUAAGUCGUGUGUGAAAGGCGCGGGCUCAACCCGCGGACGGCACAUGAUACUGCGAGACGAGGGUAA